This 569-nucleotide ribosomal RNA is filed under the name Salmonella enterica. Its description in RNAcentral is "partial 23S ribosomal RNA". It matches the Rfam family "Bacterial large subunit ribosomal RNA", at positions 1 to 601 of the family's 2925-position model. RNAcentral also lists the same sequence under 1 other name. The record is from RNAcentral. Lineage: Bacteria; Pseudomonadati; Pseudomonadota; Gammaproteobacteria; Enterobacterales; Enterobacteriaceae.
GGGUUGUGAGGUUAAGCGACUAAGCGUACACGGUGGAUGCCCUGGCAGUCAGAGGCGAUGAAGGGCGUGCUAAUCUGCGAUAAGCGCCGGUAAGGUGAUAUGAACCGUUAUAACCGGCGAUACCCGAAUGGGGAAACCCAGUGUGAUUCGUCACACUAUCAUUAACUGAAUCCAUAGGUUAAUGAGGCGAACCGGGGGAACUGAAACAUCUAAGUACCCCGAGGAAAAGAAAUCAACCGAGAUUCCCCCAGUAGCGGCGAGCGAACGGGGAGGAGCCCAGAGCCUGAAUCAGCAUGUGUGUUAGUGGAAGCGUCUGGAAAGGCGCGCGAUACAGGGUGACAGCCCCGUACACAAAAGCGCAUGUGCUGUGAGCUCGAUGAGUAGGGCGGGACACGUGGUAUCCUGUCUGAAUAUGGGGGGACCAUCCUCCAAGGCUAAAUACUCCUGACUGACCGAUAGUGAACCAGUACCGUGAGGGAAAGGCGAAAAGAACCCCGGCGAGGGGAGUGAAAAAGAACCUGAAACCGUGUACGUACAAGCAGUGGGAGCACCCUUUGGGUGUGACUGCG